AGCCGGGUUCCAUGCAAUGGGACCGCCGGCCAACGGGUCAGGACCGAGAGGUAGCAGCCCAGCUGACGUGUACCAGGUGCCGUGGCUCACCUGGCUCUC
This 99-nucleotide signal recognition particle RNA is filed under the name Phycisphaerales bacterium. RNAcentral's name for it is "signal recognition particle sRNA small type". It matches the Rfam family "Bacterial small signal recognition particle RNA". Rfam says of the family: The signal recognition particle (SRP) is a universally conserved ribonucleoprotein involved in the co-translational targeting of proteins to membranes. Archaeal SRP consists of a 7S RNA and homologues of the eukaryotic SRP19 and SRP54 proteins. Lineage: Bacteria; Pseudomonadati; Planctomycetota; Phycisphaerae; Phycisphaerales. The record is from RNAcentral.